RNAcentral lists this ribosomal RNA (651 nucleotides) under Triticum aestivum (bread wheat). RNAcentral describes it as "partial small subunit ribosomal RNA". The record is from RNAcentral. Lineage: Eukaryota; Viridiplantae; Streptophyta; Magnoliopsida; Poales; Poaceae.
AUGUGCGUAAACAGGAAGUACAAUCUAGGCGUCAUCAUUGACCUACACGCAGCUCCUGGGUUGCAAAACCCCUUUGAGCAUAGUUCCUACAAGGAUGGUUCACAAGACUGGGGCACCACCGAUGCUAACAACAUAGAAACCGUGCAAGUGAUAGAUUUCCUUGCAUCCAGGUACGCUAAAAGUCCAAGCCUCCUCUCUAUUGAGCUGAUGAACGAGCCGCUGGUGCCCGGGGUGUCUCUGGAGAGCCUGGAAACGUAUCAUCGCGAUGGGUACAACGCCGUCAGGAAGUACUCGUCGGAGGCCCACGUGAUCAUGUCCAACUGUUUGUCAUCCCCGGACCCAACAAAGAUCCUCGGGCUCGCCGGCGGUUUCACCGUUCAGCAGAACAUUGAUUUUAUCAAGACCAACUACUCAAGCGCUCUCAGCACUGUGACGAAACAAAAUGGUCCUCUCAGCUUUGUAGGUGAAUGGGUGUUUGAGUGUCAGGUUCGCAAUGCAAUGAAGGAGGAGUUCCAAAUGCUUGCAAAUGCACAUAUGGAUGUGUAUGGGAAGGCAACGUUUGGGUGGGCCUACUGGAAUCUCAAGAAUGUGAACAACCACUGGAGUAUGGAGUGGAUGAUCAAGAAUGGAUACAUCUCCUUGAAAAACUAG